Molecule: non-coding RNA, 46 nt
Organism: Trichobilharzia regenti
Lineage: Eukaryota; Metazoa; Platyhelminthes; Trematoda; Strigeidida; Schistosomatidae
Source: Rfam
GUACUGCUGAAGAAUCCCAAACUGGGACGAAACAGCUGUCCAGUAC